This is a long non-coding RNA of Mangifera indica (mango), 2701 nucleotides long. RefSeq lists it as uncharacterized. NCBI's taxonomy places the organism in Eukaryota, Viridiplantae, Streptophyta, Magnoliopsida, Sapindales, Anacardiaceae. The record is from RefSeq and is a predicted model, not a curated record. The transcript is spliced from 3 exons.
GUCUAGUCGUUUUCAGAUCUAGGGCAUACAGUACAUUUAUAAGAAAAUGGAAAGACAGAUAGUUGAUUAUGUGAUGCUGUAUGUUAAGGUCAUAACUUAAGGUUAGCGAAGGGAGGAAUGUGUUCAGUGUUCCAAGUUAUCUUGGAAAUGUUCUUUUUUAGUUAAAUUAUUAUCACUUUCCCGUUUUGUUUUUGCAGCACCCAUUGGAUUUUGGCGUUUUGCUUUCAAGAUUUUGUCUCUCUUUUGCAACGUUUCCGUGAUUUCAAAUGACUUAACCAUGCCAAAUCACCUCACUUCCCCUUAAUCAAAACUGGGUCCAUUAGGUACAUCUUAUUACAAUGGGAUAAAUAUUGUGUGAUUUGUGGCGAUAUAUUGAGUGAGAGCUGGUAUUGUGUUUGAUCAAAUGCCUGACUGAAUACUGGUUUCUUGGACAAGUGUCGUUUGGGUUCCGAGGCAAUGAGGUUGGUGUCUUUAGGACGCAUAAGGUGUGUAGAGUUGCAUGUGACUUUCUAAUGGUUAUGCUGAGGCAGACUGUGAAAUGUGAGUUUGACUUGUGUAGCUCUUGUUGUGCUUCAGUUCUUGGUAUGUUAGUUUCUCAAUGGCAUCCCCGUUGUGGGGAAGAUCUGGGGCAUCAAGGAAUACGUUGCCUGAUAUCUAUGUGCUUCAGUUCUAAAUGGCAUUCUUUUAUUUAUUUGAUUCUUGUAAAUUAUGUGCUUUGUCGAUUUCUGACCAUGGGAGACUCUUCCAUUGUGUAUCUCUGAAGGAUGGUUUUAAUAUGAUGACGUUGCGGGUAGUAAAUUAAGAUCAAGCUUGCAGAAUCGUAGGUAAACAUUGUUAAAGUUGGUAUCUGCCCGUUUAUGUUUUCACACAUGAAGUGUAAGUUGAAAUGAUCAUAAUUGUAACAUGAAUUUCAUGCACAUCAUUAAUCAUAUACAUACUUAUGAUAGAUAGGAAGUUAAUGUUGCUUUAUUUUAUAUUUUUUACGUACUGACCUUCUUCUUCCUUAUUUUUUUUAUUUUUUGGUUUUUUUUCCCCCAUAGUAAAAUCUGAUUAAAUAAAGAAGAGUGGUGUAGCAUCACAGAUUUAGAAGGAGCCUCCAAUUCACCAAUUACUGUUACCAGGCACCAACAUGGCCCAACAGAAUCACUCUACUCCGAUGCAGGUCCAAAAAGGCACUAAGAUUAAUAUUAUUUUAACACGACAUCAUAUGAAUUUCGACCAUGAAGAAAACAAUGUGCAGAUCCUGUUCCAAUGACUGCCCAGCUUUCUGCUGCAGGUGGCUAUAUGGUUGGAUUUGAUGUUUUCCUUACUCAUCUGAGUGUCUUCCUUGUAAGUGCUUUGCCCAUUUGCAUCAUUGUUCUGGAUUUGAAAUUUCAAAAUGACCCAGGCAUUUGGCUUGACAUGUCUAAUUAGUUGAUUUUAUUCAAAAGAAAAGAUAGAAACACUGUAUUCUUGGGUCAUGCAAACAAGUGUUUGAGUGUAGGUCUAGAACACACAAUUUUAUCUUCCCUCCCUCCACCCCACACCCCCCCCCCCCCCCCCCCCCCCCCCCCCAAAAAAAAAAAAAAAAUGCUGAAGGGUAGGACCAAUGACCAUGUAACAAUGUCCAUCAUCAGACCCAGCUUUUGUGUGAACAGCAUUGGAAGAAAAGUGAAUAGAGUUUGCUAGGUCAGGUCUAAUGCCAAAUUUAGCGGCCUUCCUCUAGGAACUUUAAUAUGUUUUCUCAGUCUUGUAUUUAUAAGUUUGAUAAAUUGGCAUAAACUAGACAUGGGCAGAGUAGAAGAUGAUGAAUAAGCAGGUACUUAUGAUAGUUCUAUAUAUCUAUAUGUACUCCUGGUGCAGUGAACUAUAGCUGUGCUGAGCUUAUAUGUUAUGUCUAGAUGACUGCAGAUUGAUGCCUGACUGAUUUCUUCUCUGUUCAUGUUGCUCAAUAUUUGAAUACAGUUAAAAUACUCUUUUUUCUUGAUAUUAGGCUUGUGUACCUUCUUUAAACUUAUUCAGUUACGGUUAGUAAAAGGUAUAAAAGGUAUGCUCCUCACUGUUAAACUUGGGUAGUUGUUUUGUAAGAACCUGAUUAUUAUCUAUUUUGGCUUAAGAGAUUUACAUAACUAUCUCUCAUUCAAAUCUGUCUUUACUUAAACUGAGAAAACUAAAGGGUUAUUACCUGAAGAAGGCAUGCUACAUUUGCUAGCAAUGUUGGAUGUAACACUGUUUUUGUACAUGAUGUUACGUUUUAACUUUUAAGCUAUUUUAAAAAAUGUAAUGCAAAUGUAUGAUACACAAAAAUCAAUAAGAUAGUGUAGAAAUCUUAGGUAUUCAUUAGGAAAUAUUGACAGGAUACUAUUAGGAAAGACUUGGGAGGUAGAACAAGUAAUCUGAAGCAUAUGUUGAGGUGUGAUUUUCAUGUUUUUUAUAGAAUUAAAUAUAUGUUAAUAUUAAAGAGUUAUGAAUAUUUUUUCCCAAUACGCAAUAAUUUACUAAUUUUUGAACUUUGUGUAAUAGCUGAUAUUCUUGGACUAAGGGCAAGAAAAACUAGAUGUUUUCCUACGGUCAAACGCAGGUGCCAGCUUGUUUUGCCCAGCUGCUUAUAUUCUUGCAUCUUCAAUUGGGAAAAACAAUGGCUAAUUAUUUCCGAGCCCUUGUUGGUAGGGAUUCGUUCGGACGGAAGAAGUUCGUAUUUCUGUAGUCGAUUCGAAAAAAU